GUGGGGAAUAUUGGACAAUGGGCGAAAGCCUGAUCCAGCCAUGCCGCGUGUGUGAAGAAGGUCUUCGGAUUGUAAAGCACUUUAAGUUGGGAGGAAGGGCAGUAAGUUAAUACCUUGCUGUUUUGACGUUACCGACAGAAUAAGCACCGGCUAACUUCGUGCCAGCAGCCGCGGUAAUACGAAGGGUGCAAGCGUUAAUCGGCAUUACUGGGCGUAAAGCGCGCGUAGGUGGUUUUGUAAGUUGGAGGUGAAAUCCCCGGGCUCAACCUGGGAACUGCCUCCAAAACUGCAUGACUAGAGUACGGUAGAGGGUAGUGGAAUUUCCUGUGUAGCGGUGAAAUGCGUAGAUAUAGGAAGGAACACCAGUGGCGAAGGCGACUACCUGGACUGAUACUGACACUGAGGUGCGAAAGCGUGGGGAGCAAACAGGAUUAGAAACCCCGGUAGUCC
Molecule: ribosomal RNA, 450 nt
Filed under: uncultured bacterium
Lineage: Bacteria
Description: partial 16S ribosomal RNA
Rfam family: Bacterial small subunit ribosomal RNA
Source: RNAcentral